Molecule: ribosomal RNA, 371 nt
Filed under: uncultured organism
Description: bacterial SSU rRNA
Rfam family: Bacterial small subunit ribosomal RNA
Source: RNAcentral
CGUAGGGUGCAAGCGUUAAUCGGAAUUACGUGGGCGUAAAGCGUGCGCAGGCGGUGAUGUAAGACAGUUGUGAAAUCCCCGGGCUCAACCUGGGAACUGCAUCUGUGACUGCAUCGCUGGAGUGCGGCAGAGGGGGAUGGAAUUCCGCGUGUAGCAGUGAAAUGCGUAGAUAUGCGGAGGAACACCGAUGGCGAAGGCAAUCCCCUGGGCCUGCACUGACGCUCAUGCACGAAAGCGUGGGGAGCAAACAGGAUUAGAUACCCUGGUAGUCCACGCCCUAAACGAUGUCAACUGGUUGUUGGGUCUUCACUGACUCAGUAACGAAGCUAACGCGUGAAGUUGACCGCCUGGGGAGUACGGCCGCAAGGUUG